This 254-nucleotide ribosomal RNA is filed under the name uncultured bacterium. Its description in RNAcentral is "partial 16S ribosomal RNA". It matches the Rfam family "Bacterial small subunit ribosomal RNA", at positions 524 to 776 of the family's 1533-position model. The record is from RNAcentral.
GACGAAGGGGGCUAGCGUUGUUCGGAAUUACUGGGCGUAAAGCGCGUGUAAGGCGGUUGUCCAAGUUGGAUGUGAAAGCCUUGAGCUCAACUCAAGAAAUGCAUUCAGGACUGGAUGACUAGAGGACCGGAGAGGAUAGUGGAAUUCCCAGUGUAGUGGUGAAAUACGUAGAGAUUGGGAAGAACACCAGUGGCGAAGGCGGCUAUCUGGACGGUUUCUGACGCUAAGACGCGAAAGCGUGGGGAGCAAACAGG